GGGCGGAGCAGAGGAGGCGGGUGGAGAGGCCCCGUGAUGCUGCGGCCCUUGCAGCCUCUCGCUGGCCCUUCUCCCCCAGGUUCUCCUGGAAGAGGUUCAAGUCAGAAGAUGCCCCUAAGAUCCACGUGGCCCUGAGCGUCAGCCUGUUUCUCGUGAACCUGGCCUUCUUCAUCGAUGUGGGGCAUGGCCCACAGGGGACCCAUGCUGCCUGCGUGGCCCGCGGUGCCAUCUUCCACUACUUCCUGCUCUGUGUCUUCACCUGGAUGGUGCUGGAAGCCUUCCACCUCUACCUGCUCGUCAUCAGGGUCUUCAACACCUACUUCGGGCACUACUUCCUGAAGCUG
Myotis brandtii (Brandt's bat) is the source of this 344-nucleotide RNA transcript. It is a transcript of the gene named adhesion G protein-coupled receptor G3 pseudogene, with no coding region annotated. The transcript has a single exon. Lineage: Eukaryota; Metazoa; Chordata; Mammalia; Chiroptera; Vespertilionidae. The record is from RefSeq and is a predicted model, not a curated record.